RNAcentral lists this ribosomal RNA (242 nucleotides) under Pseudoalteromonas sp. SG43-6. Its description in RNAcentral is "partial 23S ribosomal RNA". It matches the Rfam family "Bacterial large subunit ribosomal RNA", at positions 1094 to 1336 of the family's 2925-position model. The record is from RNAcentral. Lineage: Bacteria; Pseudomonadati; Pseudomonadota; Gammaproteobacteria; Alteromonadales; Pseudoalteromonadaceae.
CAGGAGGUUGGCUUAGAAGCAGCCAUCCUUUAAAGAAAGCGUAAUAGCUCACUGGUCGAGUCGGUCUGCGCGGAAGAUGUAACGGGGCUAAACUAUGCACCGAAGCUGCGGAUUCAGAAUUUAUUUUGAGUGGUAGGGGAGCGUUCUGUAAGCGGUUGAAGGUGUACCGGGAGGUAUGCUGGACGUAUCAGAAGUGCGAAUGCUGACAUGAGUAACGAUAAUGCGGGUGAAAAACCCGCACG